RNAcentral lists this ribosomal RNA (460 nucleotides) under uncultured bacterium. RNAcentral describes it as "partial 16S ribosomal RNA". It matches the Rfam family "Bacterial small subunit ribosomal RNA", at positions 338 to 795 of the family's 1533-position model. The record is from RNAcentral.
CCUACGGGAGGCAGCAGUGAGGAAUAUUGGUCAAUGGGCUUACGCCUGAACCAGCCAAGUCGCGUGAGGGAAGACUGCCCUAUGGGUUGUAAACCUCUUUUGUCAGGGAGCAAUUGGCGCUACGUGUAGCGUUAUCGAGAGUCCCUGAAGAAAAAGCAUCGGCUAACUCCGUGCCAGCAGCCGCGGUAAUACGGAGGAUGCGAGCGUUAUCCGGAUUGAUUGGGGUUAAAGGGUGCGUAGGCGGAAUGCCAAGUCAGCGGUAAAAUCGCGGGGCUCAACCUCGCUCCGCCGUUGAAACUGGCGUUCUUGAGUGGGCGAGAAGUAUGCGGAAUGCGUGGUGUAGCGGUGAAAUGCAUAGAUAUCACGCAGAACUCCGAUUGCGAAGGCAGCAUACCGGCGCCCAACUGACGCUGAAGCACGAAAGCGUGGGUAUCGAACAGGAUUAGAUACCCGGGUAGUC